UCAAGCAGCCAUAUCACCCUGCAACUCGACAACAGGCAACCCACUGAAGCUCAGCAGGUGUGAGCCUGGUCAGUACCUGGAUGGGAGACCUCCUGGGAAAAACUAAGGUUGCUGCUGGAA
Lepisosteus oculatus (spotted gar) is the source of this 120-nucleotide ribosomal RNA. The record is from Ensembl. Lineage: Eukaryota; Metazoa; Chordata; Actinopteri; Semionotiformes; Lepisosteidae.